UGUGAAUGUGAUCCCAGAGCCCUGGGGUCUGUGCCGGGGACAGAUCUUCAUUAAAGUCCCCUCUGUGCCCAGCUGGGAUGUAACCCUCUCCAGUGGGAACCAGCCUCCUAGGGCAGCCCCGACAUUAACACCUGAGCCAGAGGGUCCAGGUCUUCCAGUUUUCAGUCCUGACAUGAUCUCCCGGCUGGAACAAGGAGAAGAGCAGUUGGGUCCUGGAUCUCCCAAGGCUCUGAGGAAAGAAGGAUCCUGAGAAACAUUCAUACAGUCCCCUUUCUGAGGUUGCCUCUCCCCGGCACAGGGGACAAUUCAUGUCUGGAUACUCCCUCUAUCCUGGCAGGUGAUGGGAUGGUGAGUGAAAACGAGGAAAUGAAUCCUGAGCAGGAAAUCCCUGAGCAAGUGGAACCACACAGGCCAGCACUGACACCAUCCAAAGGAAACAUUUCCUGGAGGGGUGAGCAGGGAGCAGCCUACAAGGGUCAGUGCAGGCCGGAGAGGCAGCAGGAAACCCCCCAGUGAAGAGAUGGGGUAUCUCGACCCAGAGAAGUUUGAAGGACCACAGUGAAACCAUGCUCCAGCUUAGAACCCUCACUAAAGAGAAACUGUAUGAAUGUCCUGAGUGCGGGAGGAGCUUCACUCGCAACUCAGACCUUAUUGUGCAUCACAGGAUCCACACAGGAGAGAGUCCCUAUGACUGCCUGGACUGUGGGAAGGGGUUCAUUCAGGGUGCCGACCUGACAAAGCACCAGAGAACCCACACAGGAGAGAGACCCUAUUGUUGCCCUCAACUGCAGGAAACAGUUUGCUAUUUUCUCCUCCCUUAUUUCACACCGGAGACUGCACACGGGAGAGAGACCCUACAAAUGCCCCUAGUGUUGGAAAAGCUUCACUGCCAGCUCCAAUCUUAUUGUGCACCAGAGAACCCACACUGGGCAGAGGCCCUGGGCAUGCCCCGACUGUGAGAAAAGCUUCAGCUUGAGCUCCAACCUUAUCGCCCACCAGAGGAUCCACACAGGAGAGAGACCCUAUAAAUGCCCCGAAUGCGGGAAAGGGUUCACUCAGAGCUCCCACCUUGUUUCCCUCCAGAGAAUCCACACAGGAGAGAGACCCUAUGAAUGCCUGGACUGUGGGAAGAGCUUCAGUGAGGGCUCAGACCUCACUAAGCACCAGAGGAUUCACACGGGAGAGAGACCUUAUAAAUGUCCUGAGUGUCGAGAAAGCUUCAGCCAGAGCUCAAGCCUGAUUAAACACCUAGAGAGUCCACACCAGGAAAACCCCCUGAGUGCGGGAUAAGUUUCCCACUGAGCUCCACCCUUAUUUCUCAUCAGAGAAUCCACACAAGAGAGACUCUAUAAAUGUCCAUUCUGUGGGGAAGGCUGCCAGUGGAAGAUCUCUUUAAUGUCCCACUAGACACGCCACAGAGAAGGUGGCAGGAGUUCUCCCUGAAUGUAAUAUUUCUGUGCCCUGCUGACGCAAUGUAUAAACAUGCUUCAUUUCAGGAUGGUCUAGGCAGAAGGGGGUCAGAUGGGUGGAUGUUUUGGGUUUCAGUGUGGCCGGAGGAGGGAGCACUGGGUACUGGGGAGAUGGGUUAUUUCAAGGUCUGCAGGAAGCAGGCGUUGAAAUUAGUGAGGAGCAUUUCUGCAGGGGCUACACACACUUACCAGGUCAGAGAAGAGGUGAAGAUACCCCAUCGCACUUUGUGUCCAUGUUGUCUCUGCAGCUCCCAAGGCCUCUCAGCGUGGGUGUGAGGGCAGGGGAUGCUGUUAUUAUUAUUUGUGUUAUCACAGUGCCCUAGUCAUGGCCCAGGACCCCUCUGCACCAGGUGCUGUGUAAACACGGAAUGAAAAGCCAGUUCCUGCUGCAGAGAGUUUACAAUCUAAGUGGAGAGACGGGACAACAGAUGGACACGGACAGAUGGGAGGUGGGGGUCCAAGGAAGCAGACUGUAUUGGUAGCAUGAUGGGUAGCAUGCUCAGCAUACCAGCACCCUAACCACUGUCAGGCUUUUUGGAGGCCUCACAGCAAAGGAGAGCUUUAAGUUUUUCAAGGAAAGAGUGCGGGGUCCUGUGGGUCCUGUAGUAAGUGAAGGCCCUGAUAAAGGCCCAGUAUGAGGCCUGAGGCCUGAACUAAAAUAAUG
Molecule: long non-coding RNA, 2133 nt
Organism: Gopherus evgoodei (Goodes thornscrub tortoise)
Lineage: Eukaryota; Metazoa; Chordata; Testudines; Testudinidae
Exons: 3
Source: RefSeq, a predicted model, not a curated record